Molecule: ribosomal RNA, 353 nt
Filed under: uncultured Entrophospora
Lineage: Eukaryota; Fungi; Glomeromycota; Glomeromycetes; Entrophosporales; Entrophosporaceae
Description: SSU rRNA
Rfam family: Eukaryotic small subunit ribosomal RNA
Source: RNAcentral
AGCAGCCGCGGUAAUUCCAGCUCCAAUAGCGUAUAUUAAAGUUGUUGCAGUUAAAAAGCUCGUAGUUGAAUUUCGGGAUUGGCGCAUCGGUCGUGCCUCACGGGGUAUGAACUGGUGCAGUCAAUUUCUCACCUUCUGGAGAACCGCGAUGUCCCUAAUUGGAUGCCGCGGGGAACCAGGACCUUUACUUUGAAAAAUUGAGUGUUUAAAGCAGGCAUUUUUGCUUGAAUACAUUAGCAUGGAAUAAUAAAAUAGGACGGCAUGGUUCUAUUUUGUUGGUUUCUAGGACCACCGUAAUGAUUAAUAGGGAUAGUUGGGGGCAUUAGUAUUCAAUUGUCAGAGGUGAAAUUCUU